Long non-coding RNA from Leopardus geoffroyi (Geoffroy's cat), 3933 nucleotides. RefSeq lists it as uncharacterized. Lineage: Eukaryota; Metazoa; Chordata; Mammalia; Carnivora; Felidae. The record is from RefSeq and is a predicted model, not a curated record. The transcript is spliced from 2 exons.
ACGUCUAACCAACUGAGCCACCCAGGCGCCCCAAAGCAGUUUUUUUUUUUUUUUUAAUCAGGAGAUUGACAUACAAAUCAGAAGGUCUGGCUUUCCCGGGUGCCUAUUCUCUGUUGGUUUCACAGGCUGGCACUGAGCAGGGCGCCCCCUCCAGGCAGGGCCGGGCUCUCCCAGAGGAGCUCGAACUCUGUCCUGUCCUGCCUACUUCUGUCAUUCCCACUGCCCGCCUGGCCACACGAGCCCCAGGGCUUGGGACCUGGUUCUGGCACACGCCCGUGGCCCCCAGAAUAUGUUCCUUUGGGUCCUGGCCCAAAUCUGUGCCAUUUCUGGACUCAGGAAAGGAUGGAUACAACCUGCUAUAAGCGAGGCAGUCUUACCCUGGGUCCUUCCGUUGCUGCCAACCUGCAGACGACAGAUGACACGUUUCUCCAAGGACGCCCAGACCGGACACGUAGAGCCUGUCAUGACGGCACUGGAGUCCCCGUCACCUGCUCCUGAGCUGCCAGGGAAGCCUCUCGGUCUGUCCGCCAUGCCCGGAGUCGGGCCAGGCGACCCCGGGGGCCUCAGAGCCUCCCUGGGGUCCCUCCCUGGUGGUUGCCAUGGGAACCAGAGCUGGGGCUGGGCAGGGUCUUUGCUCUUCACACCUUGCGUCUCCUUUCUCAGUUCUUGCUCAAGGAAUGUUUGCAGAGCACCUGUAACGUGCCAGGCCCCAUAUGAGAUAUGAAAGGACGCUAAGCGUCAGUCCCUUGCCUUAAAAAACUCACAGUUCAGGGAGGAGUCAAAGUCAGACCACAGGUGACCCUACAUCCUGCCUGGCUUUACAAUUCAAGGUCAGGGAGAGGCCCAGGCUAACGCUACAGGUUGAGGAAAGCAAGUGGAGUGAAAUCAGGAAGGUUCGUGGGAAAUACGGCUUUUGAGUUGGACCUUGAAAUGUUUCCCUGGGGGGAGGGGGGUCAGAGAGGGUGUUCUGGGCACGCGUGUGGUGGGCGAAGGGAGCAGGAGCAAAGGUGUGGAGGCGGGCAAGUACAGGGCGGGGAAGGGAGCCCAUCCAGCCGCAGGAGCAGACUCAAAGGAGCUGAUGUGCAGGACAUUCCUUCGGCCACGAUCAAAGAAAUCUGGGGAAGACCGGGCUGAUUUCCAAGAACGCAUAGAGAACACGGAAUUUUCCAAGUUGAUUUGUUCGCAGGCCCUUGCUCCACCCGCCCCCUUUUUAUUUGCAGCCGGCGGAGCACCCGUGGGGCUGGGGAGGGGGGUGACCGAGGAGGAGAUGGGAACAGCCUGGAACGGAGGCAAAGCCAGGUCAUGCAGAGUCUCCGGUGCCCAGCAGUGGCUUUACUGCGAGGGUACUGGGCACGGGAGAGGGUUCUAGGCAGAAGGUGACGUUACCUGGUUUGCUAACAUUUCAGAAAGAUGGGGGGCUGCUUGAAGAGGCUGGAGUGGGAGGGGCAAGGGGAGGGGUGGGAGGGAGAGGAUGAGGAGGAAAUCUUCAGCCCUUGGAUCCACAAGAGGAGGCGGGAAGGACAAGGCAGGUGGUUGCGGACGUGGAGAGGAGCCGGAGGGGAGAUUUGCUGGCCAUCUCAGGGCCUGCUGGCUUUUCUCAGGGGGAGAGGAGCCAAGGUUUCCCUUCCCAGCAAUGUGGAGCAUCCCAAGGGUUGCCCAUGUAGGAGGGCCACCCCCCCCAGCCCCCCACCAAGGGCACACAUAACGUCUGUUCUCUGCAGGGGAGGGAGGCCAACAAGAGAACUCCCUAGCUGCGUGUACUUGACCUCCCGUAUCUCCAUCUCUUCAGCUGAAAUGGGGAGAGAGACAGACCAGGGGCGCCACCAGGUUCAAGAAGCUGGGUAGCACCUUGUAGGUCUUCAGGGAAAGUUACUUCCGUGAUCCUUAGGCUAGCAGCUUCUUAGGAGCCAAGGUUCUGGAGGUGAGCUGCAAUCAAACCUUAGCUUUGCUCUGUGCCGAUUACGCAGCCUUGGUCAGGUGACCACUCGAACUCCCCGCACCUUUGUCUGAAAACGGGGUUAAUGACAGUGCUCCAUUCAGGUGUGGUAAUGAGUAAAUGAGAGAUGACGCUACAUAAGGUGCUACAGAGCGCCAGACGCGGUAAGUGCUCAAUGAAUAUUAGCUAUUGCUAAUUUUAAUAUUAACGAGGUUUUAUACUAUUGGCGAUCAAAGUCCAUUUGGAUUUAUAUUACAGAACUUUCGAACGCAAGUUUAUCACUUUGGGGUGCGUACAGUGACCCCUAUUUGGCUAUUACAAUAUUAGCAAGAAAGUCUUUGGGGGACUGGUCUUAGCCCAUUCGGGCUGUUGUGACAGUAUCCCGUAGCCUGAAUGGCUUAUAAAUAACAGAAAUAUAUUUCUUGCAGUUCUGGAGGUCCAAGCUUGAGGCACCCGCAGAUUCAGUGUCUGGUGAGGGCCUGCCUCUCGUUCAUGGACCGGUGCUUUCUAGCUUCAGCUACCAGUAGGGGAAGGGCCAGGGAUCUUUCCUGCCUCCUUUAUAACAAGGGCACUAAUCUCAUUCACAAGGGCUCCCCCUAACGACCGAAUCAUCUCCCAAAGGCCCCACCUCCUAAUCCCACCAUCGCGGGCCUUAAGAUGCAGUUUAUAAAUUUGGUCGGGGGGAUGCAAACAUUCCAGUCCAUAGCUGGGGCCCAUGUUAAUCACCGGAUAAUAAUGAUUUGUAAUUAAUGGCCUGUAUUUCAAAAUUUGCUUCUAAGUCCUUAAAAGUGUUUCUCCUGUCACAUAGUACCGACGAACCAUUAGACUAUGGACCCUGAUGCUUAACUUGCCGAGCGCGUCUCUUUACUGAGUAGCAAGGCCAAGGUCUAGGUCUGGCUCAGAGCCAUCGCCAGCCAAGAAUGAAAGAUAGCAGAGGGGCCGAGGCCGGGUCGGACCACUGAGAGCACCGUGCAGAGAAAUGGGCAGACACAGCCAGGGGAACCCCAAGGUCCUCUCCCCGGCAGGAGGCAGGGGCAAAGCUCAUGGCUCUAUGCCCUGAGUGACGAGAGCACAGGGACCUGGCGUCACCCACCAGCCAAGCCUCCAGCCACCUGCUCCUGGUGACCUGGGGUCUGCUAUGGCAGGUUCCUCGGCUAAUCAUCCACCAGACACAUCGUCGUCUUCCUCCCGAGUAGUGGGAUUGUAGGUGGGCACCCAGCCGCCCAGCUAGACUACACUUCCUGGCCUUUUUUGCAGUUGGCCGAGUUCUUGCCUUGCACUUUAUGUCAGCAAAAGUGGUGCGUGCUCCAUCUGAGACGGAGCCUCUAAGACAGCGGGCACGUUUCCUCCUCGAUCUCUUGUCACCUGCCUUCCGUCUACAAACAGGACAUGGCUGAGACCCAGCUUCACCCCGUAGAUGUUUACAACACCCGAGGGAAUGGUGGAGAAACGAGAUGGAAAGAACCUGAGUCACCAAACGACUGGGUGACAGGAUCCACUCACCCAAAGGUGUCAGCGGUGAGCUGAGGGGGGGAACAGAAUUUGUUCAAGACGCACAGCUCUAAAGAAUGGAAACAGCCUGCCAUCCAUCAUAACCAGGGAGACGGGUUAAGUAAGUGCAGGGCUCUUUAAACAGACCACCGUGCAGCCAUAUAAAAGAACAAAGAAACUCAGCUUGAGUGAAUGAAGAACUGUCUCCAAGAUACAUCACGAAAAAGCAAGGUGCAGACCGUGGACAUUGUAUGUGACCAUUUGUAUUAAAAUGGGUGAAAUAUAGGAGUAUAAAUACAUAAUUUUUUUUUUUCUCGAAUACAAAUAAACUCUCUCGGAAGCACACAAGAGCCCGGAGAACACGGGCUGCCUCCAGGAAGGAGGGCAGGAGGCAGACUUUUCUCCCUCUAUCCUUUUGUGGUUUUGGGGUUUCAAUCAUGAGAAUGAAUUAGCCAUGAAACAAUUCAUAAUUAUCACUGAAUAAAGAAUACAUUCCGGCUUAAAGA